AGAGUUUGAUCAUGGCUCAGGACGAACGCUGGCGGCGUGCCUAACACAUGUAAGUCGAACGGGACUGGGGGCAACUCCAGUUCAGUGGCAGACGGGUGCGUAACACGUGAGCAACUUGUCCGACGGCGGGGGAUAGCCGGCCCAACGGCCGGGUAAUACCGCGUACGCUCGUUUGGGGACAUCCCUGAAUGAGGAAAGCUGUAAGGCACCGACGGAGAGGCUCGCGGCCUAUCAGCUAGUUGGCGGGGUAAUGGCCCACCAAGGCGACGACGGGUAGCUGGUCUGAGAGGAUGGCCAGCCACAUUGGGACUGAGACACGGCCCAGACUCCUACGGGAGGCAGCAGUGGGGAAUCUUGCGCAAUGGCCGCAAGGCUGACGCAGCGACGCCGCGUGUGGGAUGACGGCCUUCGGGUUGUAAACCACUGUCGGGAGGAACGAAUACUCGGCUAGUCCGAGGGUGACGGUACCUCCAAAGGAAGCACCGGCUAACUCCGUGCCAGCAGCCGCGGUAAUACGGAGGGUGCGAGCGUUGUCCGGAAUCACUGGGCGUAAAGGGCGCGUAGGUGGCCCGUUAAGUGGCUGGUGAAAUCCCGGGGCUCAACUCCGGGGCUGCCGGUCAGACUGGCGAGCUAGAGCACGGUAGGGGCAGAUGGGAUUCCCGGUGUAGCGGUGGAAUGCGUAGAUAUCGGGAAGAAUACCAGUGGCGAAGGCGUUCUGCUGGGCCGUUGCUGACACUGAGGCGCGACAGCGUGGGGAGCAAACAGGAUUAGAUACCCUAGUAGUCC
Molecule: ribosomal RNA, 786 nt
Filed under: uncultured bacterium
Lineage: Bacteria
Description: bacterial SSU rRNA
Rfam family: Bacterial small subunit ribosomal RNA
Source: RNAcentral